Molecule: non-coding RNA, 5888 nt
Organism: Vicugna pacos (alpaca)
Lineage: Eukaryota; Metazoa; Chordata; Mammalia; Artiodactyla; Camelidae
Source: RefSeq, a predicted model, not a curated record
CACACACACACCCCAGAUUCAUCCACAAGAGAAUGGAAAACUGAACAUUUCAUAUAACGGAAUAUUUACAGCAGUUAAAAUGAUUGAACCAAAACUACCUGUAUCAACUCAGAUACAUCCCACAAGCAACACUGGAAGAAGAAAACCUAGUUGUGAAAGAAGGCAUAUCAGGUAUAAUAUAUAAAUGAUGUCAUUUCUAUGAAACAAAACGUGUAAAACCACACUGUAGGUCGCUUAAGGUACAAAAAUGUCUGUGGUUAAGUAGCACCUGCUUUGGUUGGAAGAGGCCACCUGCAAGGUGACAGGUCGGGAGGUGGCUGGAGUGGGGACACGAGUGGUUUUAAUGUACAUGCCAUGUUUUAUUUCUUAAGCUGGGUGAUACCUUUAUAAUUACUUUCGUGUUGUCUUUAAAGCUUUCAGUUUCUUAAAUAACGUGUUUUUAAAGAAAAGGAGGAAGGGGGAAAAAUAGAAAAAAAUCAAAGGAACUGUGUUAGAACCGGGAAUUGAGCCACCUUUUCAAAGUGCUGAAUUGUUUAAACCUGGAGCAAAAGAAUAUUCUCUGGCGCAAACAGAAGCGUCCCUGUGUCCGUGCCUCUGGGACAAUGCCCCAUAAACUUGGGCAUUUGGGCAAAUCCACUCUGAUAGUGACUGUUGCCUGCCAACGACACACAGCAGCCGUGGACCAGUCCCAACGGGGUGAUGGGGAGUAAGUAGCCCUCAUUACAGAGCUGUUUGAUCGAUUUGAGUUCUAGAAGCUGAACAAUGACUCUCUUUCUCUCUUUUUUUUCACAAUCAUCUUGCAAGAUCUAUCCAGGGAUUCUCACAGUGGCUGAAACUCCAACAGGCAGGGCAAGACCAUUUCUUGGAGUCUAAUUUGGCCACAGGCUGCUAUUUACCUCCGUCCACAUCAUUUACUCUUUACUGAGUGAGAAAGGAUUUUAAUGUCAAAGACUGACACCUGAAUUCUAUCAAUUUCCCUCUGUUUUCUUUCCGCGGUAACCGUAUCCAAUCGGCCUGCGCACGCUGCUGCGGAGGGGGGCUGUAAUCACAGCCCUCCCUCUCAGGCCGGGGCUGCCCUGCACUUGUUUCAUCCUGCGAGCUCAGUUGCUGGGUCUGUUUCCAGGGGUGUCUUUCAGCGGGUGGCAUGAGCUGCGAAAUCAGUCACACAAAUGAUCCACCAUAUAUAAAAAGGCCACCGAUACAUCAACAGCCCUUAAAACCAAGCAACGGUUAAAAUAACUACUAGACCAGCAGCAGCAAACGCACCCGGCAGCCCAGCAAAGAGACACCGAGAAGGCAAGUCCUGGCAUUUGGCUCCUGAUUUACGCCCCACUUAUCAUCUAUUCAGGGCAUGAAACAUUCUGAAGAGAAGAUGCUAAAAAAUGGGGAAAGAUUGCCGUAACAAGCGGAAAGGCAUGGUGCUGGGCCGUCAAGAGGGGGGUAUUUAUGUUCCUAAAGAGGUAAUUCUCAUGACGUCUGAUCCAUGUGUCUUCCGUGGGGCCUGGAAUUGGGGGGCUGGCGGGAGAAGUGGCCACCUCCCUGUCUCCAGCAUCAAUGCCAUUCGGUCCUGCUCUGGUCAGAAGGCUCCUCUGCCUGAUGCUUGGCCCCUCCACGUGAUGUCACAGAGGCAGCCAAUUGACAGUAAUCCUGGACUUAGCAUCUGAAGACCUGGGUUCAAGUCCCAACUGUGCCAUUCAUUAGUUGUGUGACAAUGGGCAAGUCACUUGCCUCUCUGAGCCUCAGUUUCCCCAUCUGUGCAAUGGAGUCAAUGAUCCCCCAUGUCAUGAUGAGAUGGGGUUCUGAAUACGACCCGCUCAGACAGCUGGGCAGGUCCCCAGGGAGCAGUGCGGUGAGCACACACGGGCUGGAUGUUGCAUCCUCUUUGCUGAGCCUCCGCAUCUGGCAGACCCAGCUGACCUCGGGGGGCUCUGAGGGAGGCCAGGGGGCCAGAAAAGGUGGCAGAGUGAUGAGAGGGAACAGCGAAGGGACAGGUCUAGACCAGCAGGAGAGAGGGCUGCCCCUGGGCCCAGGGAGAAGCUGAUGCUGGAUCCCCUCAACUGGACUCCAGGGGUCUCUGGGGACAGAACAGUGUGUGAUAGGUUGGAUUAUAUCCCCCCCCCCCGCCGAAGGAUCUGUCAAGUCCUAACCCCUGGUACCUGUGAAUGUGACCUUAUUUGGAAAUAAAGUCUUCACAGAUAUAAUCAAGUUAAGAUGAGGUCAUACUGUAGUGGGGGGCCCUAAAUCCAAUGGCUGGGGUCUCUCUAAGAGAAAGGAGAGAUGCAGGCAUACAGGGAGGGAAGAUGGAGGCAGAGAUUAGGGUGAUGCGUUUACAAGCCAAGACGUGCCAGAAGCCACCAGAAGCUGGGGGACAGGCAAGGAGGAAUCUGCCUCCGAGCACAGCCCUGCCAUGACACCUCGAUUUGGGAUUGCUGGCCUUCAGGACCAUAAGGAAAUACAUUUCAAUUGUUUGAAGCCAUCCAGUUUGCUAUGGAAGCCCUGGGAAUCUAACAUAUGGCCUGAGCAGGAAGCUCUGGGCCUCAGGUAGGACAAGCCAGUCUCUGCCAGCCCCAAAUACGGAGGACCUGCUUCCCCAGGCAUUAGGUGUUAGCUUCCUGCGUCUUAGGGAGCUCAGCGUGUGUGCACCCACCAAGGAGCUCUCAGGCCUGAGUCCCUGGCAUCGCUGAGCUGUCAUGUCUAUGUGCACGUGUGUAUUUUACACACAGAUGUUGGGAUCAUUGUGGAAUGUGGCUCUACAGAUCAUUAAAUUAUUUUCUAGCAGUUGCAUUGAUUUCCAGUUCCUGAUGGAAUUGUAUCUUCCUAUUACAUCAAUUUUCAUUUUCAGUAAAAAUUAAUUCAAUUUUCUUUGAGUGGAAAUAAAAAACAAGGGAAGAGAGGAAAGAAGGGAAGACAGCAAGGAGAGUGAGAGAGCAGGAUUCAGAGUCAGAUGGAACCAGAAUGCCAUCCAAUCACAGCUUAGCAGUUGGGCUUCAUGGCUGUGUGAGCCUGGGCAGGUCACUUGCCCUCUCUGAUCUGCAGCUUUCCCACACAGAUGAUAAUAUCCACGUCACAAAGUGCUGGGGAAGAUGAAAUGAAAUAGUGGGUCCGAAGGUGUUGGCACAGCAGGCCAAGUGUUUGUUCUUGUUAUCUUUCAGGAGCGUCUUUGCCAAGUGCACCCCGAGUAGGGAAGCUGGUGACACGAACACUGUUUGGAACCUCCCAGGCUGCCACCUUUGCCUGCUGUUAGAUGUGAACUGUGCUGUCUUAGCAGAGUUGGAAGCCUCAAAGAGUCAUCUGGGGAUCUGGGUUCCUUCCGUCUUGUGGCCCCUUCCUGCUCUGAGUUCUUGGGAUCCUCUCCAUUCGACCGUUAGACGGUGAAACAGAGUGAGGACCACAAGUGGGAGGGCAGGGGAGAGCAGGUGUGACAGGGACUGCACACCUCGGAAAGCUGACAAUAUUUACCACCUGGCUCUUCAAGACAAAAGCGGUCGACUCCUCCCGCAGGGGGAGCAGCGGGAUGGAUUGAAGGGGGCUUUAAAUCCUUAAGACACGCCCCCAUUGAGAAGGGGGUCUCUUUCCCUUCCCUUAGGCUCUGGAUGGCGGAAGUGAUGCUAUGUCAGUUCCAGCCUAGAUUUUAAAAGAUUAUUUCCAGUGGUGCUUUCUGUUUCUUGGAGCCUAAGCUGACUGCCCAGCUAGAGGGAUCACAUGGAGAGCCCAGCCUUCCAGUCAUCCCCACCAAGCCACCAGGCAUGUGAAGCCACCUCGGACCUUCCAGGACCAGGCUAGCCACCAAUUGAACGUCACCGAGUGACUCUAGACAUUGCUGCCUAGAAUAGAAUAUGCGCCCGGCUAAGCCCACACCAGAUGUCUCGUCCACAAAACCAUGCGUGUGUGAUUAAGUGGUGGCUGUCAUGUCACUGUUUGUCAUGCAGAGACAGACCCAGGGCUGGAAGAGACGAGAGAGACUGCCGGAUCAUCAUUCCUGCCAUCUCUGACUGAGCACCUUAGCGACCGAGACGGGAGGGGGCUGGAGAUCACUGAACCACACCACAGACAGACCGUGACUUGGGGAGACUAACUCUGAGCCAGCCCAAGUUUUAAAUGCUGAAGACGGAGGGGAAGCAGGCUACUCCGGAGAAAGAAAAGGAAACACGAUGGCAUUUUAACUGAAGCUGCAGACUCUGCCAGGUCACUUGGGCAUCCUUCUUGCACUCUACUGGAGUGUGGAGAGCCACAUGGGGGACAAUGAAAAACAGCACCCACCCCUAGAGUCCCCUGGGAGUCCUUGAGGAAAUCACCCAAAACAAAGAGAGAGCAAAGAUGUGAGGGGAGCUUGGGGAAGACGGUUGACACAGAAGAUGAAGACAUGCACAUCACUGUGUUUGUAAAGGGAGAAUAGAGCAGUGUCUGUUUCGUCUCUCUGACCUGCCAUGGGUAGCGUCUCUACGUUUAUGGUGAUUGCGUUGGGCCCACCCAGAGACUCCAGGAUAAUGUCUCCAAUUCAGGGUCCUUAAUCUACUCACACCUGCAAAGUGCCCUUUGCCACCAUAUUCACGGGUUCUGGGGAGAGGGAUGUGGGCAUCUCUGGGGAGGUCCGUAUUCUGCCCACUGCAGUUGGCAAUCGUUAUUUCUCAGAAUCAGGAUUUGGAGUUGUUUUCAGUUUUCUUUGAAAUGUCAAAAUGAAUAUAUAUCAUUUUUACAAGAAAAUACGGAUUAUUGUCUGAAAUACAAAGUGACUCCCUUGCCUCUCUGGGGUCUGGCUACUCCCCACAGUGGGAAGCUGUGUCAAAAUACUCAUAACCAGCUAAUGGGUUUCUGUCCAGAUGUCCCCAGAGCAUUCACCGUGGGGCAGUGCUGCUCAGUCCCCGUGGGCCUGGAUUGUGUUGCAGGGCGUGUGGAAAAUGCAAUCCGCACACAGACAAACCUGGACGAUGAGAAGGUGCUUAGCUAUCUCAGCGAUACGGCCAACCUCUAGAGAGAAUGGACUCUGGGUGGGCACUCGCCCUGCCUUCUCAUAUUCAAUUGUUACUAUAAGCAUAAUCAAGGGCAGAUUCUGUUAUCACCCAUUUUACAGCAGCUCAGAGUUUCAGCAGCGCGCCCAAGAGCUGAGGUCACAUGGCAACAUCCCAUUUGCAGAACUGUCACCUCCCGGGACGGAGACCCGCAUCUUACUCGUCAUGGUGGCCUCUGCACCUGGCUCCUUGGAAGCAUUUAAGGAUGGGCAGGUUUGCCGAGUUACAUGUGGGGGCAGGACCUGUGCUUUGCUCCCUGACCAGGCCCCUCAGCCCCGUGUCCCCACCUCUGUGUCACCUCAGAGGACAGAAGGGCCCACCACCUGCCAUCUUCCUCUCCACAGGCAUUCAGCGCAGCACCUGCUGGGGAGAGACAGAGUGGAAAACUGAGGCUUGGGGACCUUAAACGAAUUGUGUUUUCUAUUCUGUUCACUCUGGCAGCAGAAAAAAAGUAAAAACAACAACAACAAAAAAAACAACAAGAAAAGAAAAAAAUCAGUGACCAUUCAGUUAACGCUCUGUAUUAACAAAACUGUUGUUGUGUGUGUGCAUGUGUGGGGUGUGCAUGUGUGUGGUGUGCAUGUGAGUGUGAACAUGUGCACACGUGUGAGCGUGUGCUUGUGUGCUCGUGCGUGGACACACCCGCAUCCUGGUGCACACGCAUCUUACUUUUCAGCAGACUCUGGACGACCUAUGUCACCUGUAAGAUAGAGAUGAGCCUCAGCUGUCACUGCACUCAGAGCACUGGGGCCUCUCUUGGGGACCCACAGAGUAACAGGGAUGGGCAUGAAUCUGGGGCUUGGGGACAGAACCUCCAGGGGGCGUCUCAGGGUGGAUGCUGUCUGGGGAAAUGUUCCCCGUCGGACCCAACUGUGUUGU